This 94-nucleotide transfer RNA is filed under the name Mycolicibacterium celeriflavum. RNAcentral describes it as "tRNA-Lys". Lineage: Bacteria; Bacillati; Actinomycetota; Actinomycetes; Mycobacteriales; Mycobacteriaceae. The record is from RNAcentral.
GGCCGCAUAGGUGACGGCGACGAGCACCAUCGACUUCUUGCGUCCGAUGGCGUUGGCGAGCAUCCCGCCGCCGAUCGCGCCGGCGAUCUGGCCG